Molecule: transfer RNA, 64 nt
Filed under: Pomacea maculata
Lineage: Eukaryota; Metazoa; Mollusca; Gastropoda; Architaenioglossa; Ampullariidae
Also listed under: 1 other name
Description: tRNA-Gln
Source: RNAcentral
UUACUAAGCGGUGUUUGGCACAAAGGGUUUUGAUUCCUUAAGAAAGACUAUUUCUUCUAGUAAA